AACGUAGGAGACAAACGUUAUCCGGAGUUACUGGGCGUAAAGGGCGUGUAGGUGGUUUCGUAAGUCUGGCGUGAAAUUUCCCGGCUUAACCGGGAGUGGUCGUCGGAUACUGCGGGACUAGAGGACGGUAGAGGCGUGUGGAAUUCCGGGUGUAGUGGUGAAAUGCGUAGAGAUCCGGAGGAACACCAGUGGCGAAGGCGACACGCUGGGCCGUACCUGACACUGAUGCGCGACAGCAUGGGGAGCAAACAGG
This 253-nucleotide ribosomal RNA is filed under the name uncultured bacterium. RNAcentral describes it as "partial 16S ribosomal RNA". It matches the Rfam family "Bacterial small subunit ribosomal RNA", at positions 524 to 776 of the family's 1533-position model. The record is from RNAcentral.